GAUGAAGAACGCAGCGAAAUGCGAUAAGUAAUGUGAAUUGCAGAAUUCAGUGAAUCAUCGAGUCUUUGAACGCACAUUGCGCCCCCUGGUAUUCCGGGGGGCAUGCCUGUCCGAGCGUCAUUGCCGCCCUCAAGCACGGCUUGUGUGUUGGGCCCCCGCCCCCCGGCUUCGGGGGGCGGGCCCGAAAGGCAGCGGCGGCACCGCGUCCGGUCCUCGAGCGUAUGGGGCUUCGUCACCCGCUCUGUAGGCCCGGCCGGCGCCCGCCGGCGACCCCAAUCAAUCUUUCCAGGUUGACCUCGGAUCAGGUAGGGAUACCCGCUGGACUUAAGCAUAUCAAUAAGCGGAGGA
RNAcentral lists this unclassified non-coding RNA (348 nucleotides) under soil metagenome. RNAcentral describes it as "partial contains 5.8S ribosomal RNA, internal transcribed spacer 2, and large subunit ribosomal RNA". The stretch from base 1 to 120 matches the Rfam family "5.8S ribosomal RNA", at positions 35 to 154 of the family's 154-position model. The record is from RNAcentral.